This 253-nucleotide ribosomal RNA is filed under the name uncultured bacterium. Its description in RNAcentral is "partial 16S ribosomal RNA". It matches the Rfam family "Bacterial small subunit ribosomal RNA", at positions 524 to 776 of the family's 1533-position model. The record is from RNAcentral.
UACGGAGGGUGCGAGCGUUGCCCGGAAUCACUGGGCGUAAAGGGCGCGUAGGUGGCGCGGGAAGUCAACGGUGAAAGUUCAGGGCUCAACCCUGAAUCGGCCGUCGAUACUCCCGGGCUUGAGCACUGUAGAGGCAGGUGGAAUUCCGGGUGUAGCGGUGGAAUGCGUAGAGAUCCGGAAGAACACCGGUGGCGAAGGCGGCCUGCUGGGCAGUUGCUGACACUGAUGCGCGACAGCGUGGGGAGCAAACAGG